Cricetulus griseus (Chinese hamster) is the source of this 109-nucleotide small nucleolar RNA. The record is from Ensembl. NCBI's taxonomy places the organism in Eukaryota, Metazoa, Chordata, Mammalia, Rodentia, Cricetidae.
UCCCGAUGAUGAGUUGCCAUGCUAAUACUGAGACACCAGCCAGGCUGUUCCUGCCUGGUUUGGGUGCCAAUGAGUUCAACAAGACUUCUCACGUGGAGACCUGAGGGAC